This 73-nucleotide non-coding RNA is filed under the name Vibrio crassostreae. Lineage: Bacteria; Pseudomonadati; Pseudomonadota; Gammaproteobacteria; Vibrionales; Vibrionaceae. The record is from RNAcentral.
AACCGCCGUAUGCGAUACACGCUUGUACGGUGGUGUGAGAGGACGGAGGCCGUGAGGCCUCCUCCUACUCGAU